Molecule: ribosomal RNA, 913 nt
Filed under: uncultured marine archaeon
Lineage: Archaea
Description: bacterial SSU rRNA
Rfam family: Archaeal small subunit ribosomal RNA
Source: RNAcentral
UUCCGGUUGAUCCCGCCGGACCUGACUGCUAUCGGAUUGAUACUAAGCCAUGCGAGUCUUUGCAGUAAUGCAAGGCAUACGGCUCAGUAACACGUAGUCAACUUACCCUAUGGACGAGGAUAAUCUCGGGAAACUGAGCAUAAUACCCGAUAGACCACUUAUCCUGGAAUGGUUUAUGGUUAAAAUGAUUCGUCGCCAUAGGAUGGGACUGCGGCCUAUCAGCUUGUUGGUGAGGUAAUGGCCCACCAAGGCGAUUACAGGUACGGGCUCUGAGAGGAGAAGCCCGGAGAUGGGUACUGAGACAAGGACCCAGGCCCUAUGGGGCGCAGCAGGCGAGAAAACUUUGCAAUGUGCGAAAGCACGACAAGGUUAAUCCGAGUGAUUUCUGCUAAAGAAAUCUUUUGCAAGUCAUAAAACCACUAGUGAAUAAGGGGUGGGCAAGUUCUGGUGUCAGCCGCCGCGGUAAAACCAACACCUCAAGUGGUCAGGAGGAUUAUUGGGCCUAAAGCAUCCGUAGCCUGCUCUGUAAGUUUUCGGUUAAAUCCAUGUGCUCAACGUAUGGGCUGCCGUAAAUACUGUAGAACUAGGGAGUGGGAGAGGUAGACGGUACUCGGUAGGAAGGGGUAAAAUCCUUUGAUCUAUCGAUGACCACCUGUGGCGAAGGCGGUCUACCAGAACACGUUCGACGGUGAGGGAUGAAAGCUGGGGGAGCAAACCGGAUUAGAUACCCGGGUAGUCCCAGCUGUAAACGAUGCAGACUCGAUGAUGCAAUGGCAUAGAGCCAUUGCAGUAUCGCAGGGAAGCCGUUAAGUCUGCCGCCUGGGAAGUACGUACGCAAGUAUGAAACUUAAAGGAAUUGGCGGGGGAGCACCACAAGGGGUGAAGCCUGCGGUUCAAUUGGAUUCAACGCCGG